CCCUUAGAUGUUCUGGGCCGCACGCGUGCUACACUGAGUAAAUCAAUGGGUAAGGGAACACGAAAGUGCAACCUAAUCUUGAAAUUUGCUCGUGAUGGGGAUUGACGGUUGCAAUUUUCCGUCAUGAACGAGGAAUACCUUGUAGGCGCAUGUCAUCAUCAUGCGCCGAAUACGUCCCUGCCCUUUGUACACACCGCCCGUCGCUCCUACCGAUUGAGUGAUCCGGUGAGGCUCUGGGACCUGAGCGGAAAGAGCGUUUCGCUUGUUCUGCUUGGGAAACUUGGUCGAACCUUAUCAUUUAGAGGAAGGAGAAGUCGUAACA
RNAcentral lists this ribosomal RNA (322 nucleotides) under uncultured eukaryote. RNAcentral describes it as "partial 18S ribosomal RNA". It matches the Rfam family "Eukaryotic small subunit ribosomal RNA", at positions 1470 to 1796 of the family's 1831-position model. The record is from RNAcentral.